This 454-nucleotide ribosomal RNA is filed under the name uncultured bacterium. RNAcentral describes it as "partial 16S ribosomal RNA". It matches the Rfam family "Bacterial small subunit ribosomal RNA", at positions 39 to 523 of the family's 1533-position model. The record is from RNAcentral.
GCGGAGUGCCUUAGGCAUGCAAGUCGACCGGGUCUCGAUAGCAAUAUCGGGAUCAGGGGCGGACGGGUGAGUAAUAGAAGGGAAUCUACCUUAAAGUGGGGAAUACCUCUCCGAAAGGAGAGCUAAUACCGCAUGUUUUCGCAAGAACAAAGGGCUUAACUGCCCGCUUUAAGAUGAGCCCUUCUCCUAUCAGCUAGUUGGUGAGGUAAUGGCUUACCAAGGCUUUGACGGGUAGCUGGUCUGAGAGGAUGGUCAGCCACAAUGGGACUGUGACACGGCCCAUACACCUACGGGUGGCAGCAACCGGGAAUAUUGCGCAAUGGACGAAAGUCUGACGCAGCCAUGCCGCGUGGAUGAUGAAGGUCUUAGGAUUGUAAAAUCCUUUCACCGGUGAAGAUAAUGACUGUAGCCGGAGAAGAAGCCCCGGCUAACUUCGUGCCAGCCGCCGCCGUAA